Molecule: long non-coding RNA, 243 nt
Filed under: Gossypium barbadense (sea-island cotton)
Lineage: Eukaryota; Viridiplantae; Streptophyta; Magnoliopsida; Malvales; Malvaceae
Description: long non-coding RNA (GBAR_LNC011817)
Source: RNAcentral
UAAAAGUUAAAAUUCAAUUCAAAAUAUAAUUUAAUAAUAAAAAGAAAAACAAAAUAAAAAACAAAGACAUAAAUAUGACUGGAACUGUCCUAGUAUGGUUUGGCUUUCCAUGUUGCCCACUUUAGAGUGUCAUUUUCUUCGUUAGACCAUCUCGUGUAUUGUAUUAAUUCUCUCAAUGUGUUAAUAUCGUCUAACAAUGGUUUGUGCGACCAAUGAAUUGAACAGGUUUUCCCUACAUUGAUA